AAAGCUCUUUUCAAUGAUAGUUUUUUUAAAUUCCAUUCAUUCAUUUUCUUAGCCGCUUAACCUCACGAGGGUCGCAGGAGAGCUGGAGCCUAUCCCAGCUGUCAACAGGCAGGAUCCUGGUAAUGUGUAAUGAAAAAUCUGGUACUUACAUUAAUAUAUUGACUUAUUUUGCAGGCAAAGCUACCUCUGCAAAUCCAUCGAAGAAAAGAUGUGUUCAUCUUGAGAGUGGUACACAAUUUUAGUAGAUGGAAUCUUCCUACACAACCAAAUAUAUUUUAAAUAUCUAGAAACACUGAACUCCACCAUUGAGGAUAUAAAUUCCAUCAAUUAAGGGUGCGGGCUGUGCCGAUUACAUUUAUGAAUAAUCCAAAAUAUCUUUUCUUUUUUCUUAACAUGUGUGUUAUGGUACCCACCCAACUUCCUUGGGGCAGAAUAAGACAGAUAUAGUAAAAGUGACCAGUAAGUUAUUUUUCCCCAGUUGUGUAUGCUGGAAUCAUAAUUGGGAUGUCUCAUUUAAUUCUCUCACUGCAUGCAUAUCAACAGUGUAAUUCAUUGAUGUAGUAUUUUUUAUAUAAAUGUAUAAUUUCAGGUGUUUUAAUUUUUUAAAGCGUCCAGGAAUUCAGUGAAUUUAUGUCAUGACUAUAUCAACUUUUCAGUGGUGUGAUAUUGCAGGUCAUGGUUUAUUUUUUUACAGCACCCAAAACCUCCUGAAGUGGAAGAUUCGGAAAGCGAUGCCAGUGCUGUAAUUGCACUGCAAGACCACCAAAGCAGUGGAACAGGUGGUCUACUGUUACCAUGAAGAACCCCAAGAUAUUCAAAACAAAGACAUCUACCAUCAACCUCGAGCCAUCCACAACCAAACAUGAGCCUCUAACCAUUCCUCCAAAGAGAGUUGGCCCAUUGUUCCAAAAAAGGGAUGAUCCUGCUUACUGAGUUAAGGGACACCGGUAGGCAUCAAGACCACAGGGCAGCACAAGAAGAGGAGAUCGAUCGACAUUGUACAGAUAAAAUAUCUGGCCGAUUUCAUUGUCCUUGAACAGAAGGUGAUGGAAGACCCCUGUGCUUCUGCAGAACUGCUAUGAUUAAAAAUUCCAAAUGUUGAAAGUUGGAUGGGUACCCCUCAAGGAAAAUAUCAAACGGAUCCUGAAGAGACUUCUGAACAAUGCUCUUUCUAUAAACAAAAUAUGGAUUCUUGAAUGUGUCUUGAGAAGCCACGAGGGGACCCUGAGUGAUGUACAAAGUGCGGCCAUGUCGUGCCUAAAAUAUGUGCCUGACAGAUGUGGUGGCACUGGGAAGAAUCUGGACGGGAGGAACCAGGAUGGACAGUAAA
This is a long non-coding RNA of Syngnathoides biaculeatus (alligator pipefish), 1330 nucleotides long. RefSeq lists it as uncharacterized. The record is from RefSeq and is a predicted model, not a curated record. NCBI's taxonomy places the organism in Eukaryota, Metazoa, Chordata, Actinopteri, Syngnathiformes, Syngnathidae. The transcript is spliced from 5 exons.